CAAUAACGUAUAUUAAAGUUGUUGCGGUUAAAAGCUCGUAGUUGGAUUUCUGUCGAAAGUGCUUGGUCCCCACUCUGUGGGCGCAUCUAAGUCGCUUUUGGCAUCCUCCUAUUUUUCGUUUGCUGCACUUAAUUGGGUGGCUUUCGGAGUAGGACUUUUACUUUGAGGAAAUUCGAGUGUUUACGGCAGGCAAUCGCCUUGUAGAUAUUAGCAUGGAAUAAUAAUAUAGGACCUUGGUUCUAUUUUGUUGGUUUCUAGGACUGAGGUAAUGAUUAAUAGGGAUAUUUGGGGGCAUUCGUAUUAACCGGUCAGAGGUGGAAUUCUUGGAUUCGGUUACGACGAACUACUGCGAAAGCAUUUGCCAAGAAUGUUUUCAUUGAUCAAGAACGAAAGUGUGGGGAUCGAAGAUGAUUAGAUACCGU
This 422-nucleotide ribosomal RNA is filed under the name uncultured eukaryote. RNAcentral's name for it is "SSU rRNA". It matches the Rfam family "Eukaryotic small subunit ribosomal RNA", at positions 592 to 1018 of the family's 1831-position model. The record is from RNAcentral.